GGUUUUAUAGUUUAUUAAAAAUACCAAGUUGCAGCCUUGGAGAAAAGGAGUACUUUAGAACCU
RNAcentral lists this transfer RNA (63 nucleotides) under Scrobicularia plana. Its description in RNAcentral is "tRNA-Cys". The record is from RNAcentral. Lineage: Eukaryota; Metazoa; Mollusca; Bivalvia; Cardiida; Scrobiculariidae.